GAUGAACGCUGGCGGCGUGCCUAAUACAUGCAAGUCGAGCGAACGGACGAGAAGCUUGCUUCUCUGAUGUUAGCGGCGGACGGGUGAGUAACACGUGGAUAACCUACCUAUAAGACUGGGAUAACUUCGGGAAACCGGAGCUAAUACCGGAUGAUAUUUUGAACCGCAUGGUUCAAAAGUGAAAGACGGUCUUGCUGUCACUUAUAGAUGGAUCCGCGCUGCAUUAGCUAGUUGGUAAGGUAACGGCUUACCAAGGCAACGAUGCAUAGCCGACCUGAGAGGGUGACCGGCCACACUGGCACUGAGACACGGUCCCGACUCCUACGGGAGGCAGCAGUAGGGAAUCUUCCGCAAAGGGCGAAAGCCUGACGUAGCAACGCCGCGUGAGUGAUGAAGGUCUUCGGAUCGUAAAACUCUGUUAUUAGGGAAGAACAUAUGUGUAAGUAACUGUGCACAUCUUGACGGUACCUAAUCAGAAAGCCACGGCUAACUACGUG
This 497-nucleotide ribosomal RNA is filed under the name uncultured bacterium. RNAcentral's name for it is "partial 16S ribosomal RNA". It matches the Rfam family "Bacterial small subunit ribosomal RNA", at positions 28 to 507 of the family's 1533-position model. The record is from RNAcentral.